AUGCUCGCUUCAGCAGCACCUAUACUAAAACUGGCAUGAUAUAGAGACAAUUAGCAUGGCCCCUGCAUAACAGUGACACACAAACUCAUGAAGCAGUCCAUGUUUUC
Molecule: small nuclear RNA, 107 nt
Organism: Bos grunniens (domestic yak)
Lineage: Eukaryota; Metazoa; Chordata; Mammalia; Artiodactyla; Bovidae
Source: Ensembl